RNAcentral lists this ribosomal RNA (565 nucleotides) under uncultured bacterium. RNAcentral describes it as "partial 16S ribosomal RNA". It matches the Rfam family "Bacterial small subunit ribosomal RNA", at positions 355 to 940 of the family's 1533-position model. The record is from RNAcentral.
UGGGGAAUAUUGCACAAUGGGCGCAAGCCUGAUGCAGCAACGCCGCGUGAGUGAUGAAGGUCUUCGGGUUGUAAAGCUCUGUCUUUUGGGACGAUAAUGACGGUACCAAAGGAGGAAGCCACGGCUAACUACGUGCCAGCAGCCGCGGUAAUACGUAGGUGGCAAGCGUUGUCCGGAUUUACUGGGCGUAAAGGAUGCGUAGGCGGAUUUUUAAGUGAGAUGUGAAAACCCUAAGCUUAACUUGGGGACUGCAUUUCAUACUGGAAAUCUAGAGUGCGGGAGAGGAGAAUGGAAUUCCUAGUGUAGCGGUGAAAUGCGUAGAGAUUAGGAAGAACACCAGUGGCGAAGGCGAUUCUCUGGACCGUAACUGACGCUGAGGCAUGAAAGCGUGGGUAGCAAACAGGAUUAGAUACCCUGGUAGUCCACGCCGUAAACGAUGAGUACUAGGUGUAGGAGGUAUCGACCCCUUCUGUGCCGCAGUUAACACAAUAAGUACUCCGCCUGGGAAGUACGAUCGCAAGAUUAAAACUCAAAGAAAUUGACGGGGGUCAUAGCUGUUUUUCCU